AUGGUGAACUAUGCCUGA
RNAcentral lists this non-coding RNA (18 nucleotides) under Arabidopsis thaliana (thale cress). The record is from RNAcentral. Lineage: Eukaryota; Viridiplantae; Streptophyta; Magnoliopsida; Brassicales; Brassicaceae.